This 74-nucleotide transfer RNA is filed under the name Nanobdellota archaeon. RNAcentral's name for it is "tRNA-Lys". It matches the Rfam family "tRNA". From Rfam's summary of the family: Transfer RNA (tRNA) molecules are approximately 80 nucleotides in length. Their secondary structure includes four short double-helical elements and three loops (D, anti-codon, and T loops). Further hydrogen bonds mediate the characteristic L-shaped molecular structure. tRNAs have two regions of fundamental functional importance: the anti-codon, which is responsible for specific mRNA codon recognition, and the 3' end, to which the tRNAs corresponding amino acid is attached (by aminoacyl-tRNA synthetases). tRNAs cope with the degeneracy of the genetic code in two manners: having more than one tRNA (with a specific anti-codon) for a particular amino acid; and 'wobble' base-pairing, i.e. permitting non-standard base-pairing at the 3rd anti-codon position. RNAcentral also lists the same sequence under 2 other names. The record is from RNAcentral. Lineage: Archaea; Nanobdellati; Nanobdellota.
GAGCCGUUAGCUCAGUUUGGUAGAGCACUAGACUUUUAAUCUAGGUGUCGCGGGUUCGAAUCCCGUACGGCUCG